GACGAACGCUGGCGGCGUGCUUAACACAUGCAAGUCGAACGGAAAGGCCCUGCUUUUGUGGGGUGCUCGAGUGGCGAACGGGUGAGUAACACGUGAGUAACCUGCCCUUGACUUUGGGAUAACUUCAGGAAACUGGGGCUAAUACCGGAUAGGAGCUCCUGCUGCAUGGUGGGCGUUGGAAAGUUUCGGCGGUUGUGGAUGGACUCGCGGCUUAUCAGCUUGUUGGUGGGGUAGUGGCUUACCCAGGCUUUGACGGGUAGCCGGCCUGAGAGGGUGACCGGCCACAUUGGGACUGAGAUACGGCCCAGACUCGUACGGGAGGCAGCAGUGGGGAAUAUUGCACAAUGGGCGGAAGCCUGAUGCAGCAACGCCGCGGGCGGGAUGACGGCCUUCGGGUUGUAAACCGCUUUCGCCUGUGACGAAGCGUGAGUGACGGUAAUGGGUAAAGAAGCACCGGCUAACUACGUG
Molecule: ribosomal RNA, 468 nt
Filed under: uncultured bacterium
Lineage: Bacteria
Description: partial 16S ribosomal RNA
Rfam family: Bacterial small subunit ribosomal RNA
Source: RNAcentral